AUUGAACGCUGGCGGCAUGCUUUACACAUGCAAGUCGAACGGCAGCACGGGGGCAACCCUGGUGGCGAGUGGCGAACGGGUGAGUAAUGCAUCGGAACGUAUCCUUAAGUGGGGGAUAACGCAUCGAAAGAUGCGCUAAUACCGCAUAAUCUCUGAGGAGAAAAGCAGGGGAUCGCAAGACCUUGCGCUUUUGGAGCGGCCGAUGUCUGAUUAGCUAGUUGGUGAGGUAAAGGCUUACCAAGGCUUCGAUCAUAGCUGGUCUGAGAGGACGACCAGCCACACUGGGACUGAGACACGGCCCAGACUCCUACGGGAGGCAGCAGUGGGAAUUUUGGACAAUGGGGAAACCCUGAUCCAGCCAUGCCGCGUGAGUGAAGAAGGCCUCGGUUGUAAGUA
RNAcentral lists this ribosomal RNA (396 nucleotides) under uncultured bacterium. Its description in RNAcentral is "bacterial SSU rRNA". It matches the Rfam family "Bacterial small subunit ribosomal RNA", at positions 30 to 430 of the family's 1533-position model. The record is from RNAcentral.